CGGGGCGUAGUUCAGCCUGGUAGAAUGCUUGCAUGGGGUGCAAGAGGCCGAAGGUUCAAAUCCUUUCGCCCCGACCA
Molecule: transfer RNA, 77 nt
Filed under: Rickettsiales bacterium
Lineage: Bacteria; Pseudomonadati; Pseudomonadota; Alphaproteobacteria; Rickettsiales
Description: tRNA-Pro
Rfam family: tRNA
About the family: Transfer RNA (tRNA) molecules are approximately 80 nucleotides in length. Their secondary structure includes four short double-helical elements and three loops (D, anti-codon, and T loops). Further hydrogen bonds mediate the characteristic L-shaped molecular structure. tRNAs have two regions of fundamental functional importance: the anti-codon, which is responsible for specific mRNA codon recognition, and the 3' end, to which the tRNAs corresponding amino acid is attached (by aminoacyl-tRNA synthetases). tRNAs cope with the degeneracy of the genetic code in two manners: having more than one tRNA (with a specific anti-codon) for a particular amino acid; and 'wobble' base-pairing, i.e. permitting non-standard base-pairing at the 3rd anti-codon position.
Source: RNAcentral